GACGAACGCUGGCGGCGUGCCUAAUACAUGCAAGUAGAACGCUGAAGAGAGGAGCUUGCUCUUCUUGGAUGAGUUGCGAACGGGUGAGUAACGCGUAGGCAACCUGCCCUCAGGAUGGGGACAACGGCUCGAAAGAGCCGCUAAUACCGAAUGACGUAACUCUUCCACAUGGAAGAGAUACUAAAGAUGGGUCAAACCAUCGCCUAAGGAUGGGCCUGCGUCUGAUUAGCCAGUUGGUGAGGUAACGGCUCACCAAAGCGACGAUCAGUAGCCGGUCUGAGAGGAUGAACGGCCACAAUGGGACUGAGACACGGCCCAUACUCCUACGGGAGGCAGCAGUGGGGAAUCUUCCGCAAUGGGCGAAAGCCUGACGGAGCAACGCCGCGUGAGUGAAGAAGGUCUUCGGAUCGUAAAGCUCUGUUGUCGGGGACGAAAGAGUAGACGAGGAAAUGCGUCUACUAAGACGGUACCUGACGAGGAAGCCACGGCUACUCUC
Molecule: ribosomal RNA, 496 nt
Filed under: uncultured bacterium
Lineage: Bacteria
Description: bacterial SSU rRNA
Rfam family: Bacterial small subunit ribosomal RNA
Source: RNAcentral